UAGAAUACCAAGGCGAUCGAGAGAACUGUGGUUAAGGAACUCGGCAAAAUGCCCCCGUAACUUCGGGAGAAGGGGGACCAUGCCCGGUGAACAUCUUCACGGUGGGAGCUGGGUGUGGUCGCAGAGACCAGAGAGAAGCGACUGUUUACUAAAAACACAGGUCCGUGCGAAGACGUAAGUCGAUGUAUACGGACUGACGCCUGCCCGGUGCUGGAAGGUUAAGAGGACCGGUUAGCCGUAAGGCGAAGCUGAGAAUUUAAGCCCCAGUAAACGGCGGUGGUAACUAUAACCAUCCUAAGGUAGCGAAAUUCCUUGUCGGGUAAGUUCCGACCUGCACGAAUGGCGUAACGACUUCUCUGCUGUCUCGACCACAGACUCGGCGAAAUUGCACUACGAGUAAAGAUGCUCGUUACGCGCGGCAGGACGAAAAGACCCCGGGACCUUUACUAUAGCUUGGUAUUGGCGUUCGAUUCGGUUUGUGUAGGAUAGGUGGGAGACUGUGAAGCAUGCACGCCAGUGUGUGUGGAGUCGUUGUUGAAAUACCACUCUGAUCGUAUUGGACGUCUAACCUCGGCCCAUGAUCUGGGUUAGGGACAGUGCCUGGUGGGUAGUUUAACUGGGGCGGUUGCCUCCUAAAGAGUAACGGAGGCGCCCAAAGGUUCCCUCAGCCUGGAUGGCAAUCAGGUGUUGAGUGCAAGUGCACAAGGGAGCUUGACUGUGAGACUGACACGUCGAGCAGGGACGAAAGUCGGGACUAGUGAUCCGGCACCGGCAAGUGGAAGCGGUGUCGCUCAACGGAUAAAAGGUACCCCGGGGAUAACAGGCUGAUCUUCCCCAAGAGUCCAUAUCGACGGGAUGGUUUGGCACCUCGAUGUCGGCUCGUCGCAUCCUGGGGCUGGAGUAGGUCCCAAGGGUUGGGCUGUUCGCCCAUUAAAGCGGCACGCGAGCUGGGUUUAGAACGUCGUGAGACAGUUCGGUCUCUAUCCGCCGCGCGCGUAAGAAACUUGAGGAAGGCUGUCCCUAGUACGAGAGGACCGGGACGGACGAACCUCUGGUGUGCCAGUUGUUCCACCAGGAGCAUGGCUGGUUAGCUACGUUCGGAAGGGAUAACCGCUGAAAGCAUCUAAGCGGGAAGCCUGUUCCAAGAUGAGGUUUCUCACCACCUUGCGUGGUUAAGGCCCCCUACAGACCAUGGGGUUGAUAGGCCGGAACUGGAAGCGCAGCAAUGCGUGGAGGUGACCGGUACUAAUAGGCCGAGGGCUU
Molecule: ribosomal RNA, 1263 nt
Filed under: metagenome
Description: bacterial LSU rRNA
Rfam family: Bacterial large subunit ribosomal RNA
Source: RNAcentral